Molecule: long non-coding RNA, 1049 nt
Organism: Corapipo altera (White-ruffed manakin)
Lineage: Eukaryota; Metazoa; Chordata; Aves; Passeriformes; Pipridae
Exons: 5
Source: RefSeq, a predicted model, not a curated record
GCAAGGAAAGUGCUCCCUCAUGCUGACAGAUAAAAUUGGUUAAUGCUGAGAUAUUAAUUUCCUGCUUUAGCUGGGCAUUGUUUCCCAUGCCUCAGCAUCGCUCUGUGUCCUCUCCAAAGGUGCUGGAUAUGUCUCUGGCACCCCCUUCCCAUCCACCUACGGGGUCUUGCUCAGUUUGGAGCAGCAGAACUGUUUCAGAUCAGGUUUCCUCUCAGACAGUGUGUUGUUUUCACGUGGUACUGUAGCUGGUUUGGAUUGGCAGAAACUCAUGGAUAUUUUUUUUCUCUCUGCAGUUUGGUAUUCACAGCACAGUGUCAACCCUGGAGAUACCCUGGGUGGUGCUGAGUGUUGGGGAGAUCCUGCAGACCUGCUGCAGAGACCAGACUGAUAAAGUCUCCAGGCCUCUUGGUGAGGUGGAUCGUGGUGGGACAGUGCCUUUUUGCAAAAGCAGGGUCAGACAGAGAGCAGGAAGCUUUCCUCAUGGCUUCGUGUGAUACAAUACCCCAGAUGGUGUUUGUACUCAGACCAAAAAAGUGAAUAUGGACCCCUUGGAGUCUGAUAUGAGGGAAUUUGUCAGCAGAUAACAGGUCAGAAUGGCCCUAGGAUGGAGGUCUCCCCAGCUGAGGUUAGGAAUGCUGUGAGCCUGGAAGGCAAUUUUUCCAACAAGUUGAUUUAUGGAAUUGGCUGGCAAAGCCUUGAAUACAUUGAGAAAUACAACUUCUACAAUGGACCAACACAUCCUUAAGGAAUGAAUGGUUCCUCUUUAAACUGGGAGCUGUGCUCCUGGCUGCUCUGAGCACCUUGGGAACGGAGGAGGAUUAGGACCAGGCUGUGAACUGCGGUGUUUGUCCUGCUGUGUAAACCUGUAUGGUAAAAACAUGUCCAGAGGCUGGACUGAGAGGGCUGUGAAGCCACCAGCCCUGGCUGCUCCUGCCACCAGCUCUGCCCGGCCCCAGCGCUCUCACCAGCUCACCCAGCAGAGGGGAUCGAAGGGACCCAGCGCCAAAACCCAGGAGAGUUCUUCACUGAGACCUGCCCUGGAGUAGUUU